UACGUAGGGAGCAAGCGUGGUCCGGAAUCAUUGGGCGUAAAGCGCGCGUAGGCGGCCCUGUAAGUCCGUUGUGAAAGUCAAAGGCUCAACCUUUGAAAGCCGAUGGAUACUGCAGGGCUAGAGUCCGGAAGAGGCGAGUGGAAUUCCUGGUGUAGCGGUGGAAUGCGCAGAUAUCAGGAGGAACACCAAUAGCGAAGGCAGCUCGCUGGGACGGUACUGACGCUAAGGCGCGAAAGCGUGGGGAGCGAACAGG
Molecule: ribosomal RNA, 253 nt
Filed under: uncultured bacterium
Lineage: Bacteria
Description: partial 16S ribosomal RNA
Rfam family: Bacterial small subunit ribosomal RNA
Source: RNAcentral